Long non-coding RNA from Daphnia magna, 742 nucleotides. RefSeq lists it as uncharacterized. The record is from RefSeq and is a predicted model, not a curated record. The transcript is spliced from 2 exons. NCBI's taxonomy places the organism in Eukaryota, Metazoa, Arthropoda, Branchiopoda, Diplostraca, Daphniidae.
UGAGCUCCCGGAGCUAGGCUCCGUAGGAGUAGUUCCCUGGAGUCUUCAGACGCUCUCCGAGUUUGGUAUGGUCAUCCCUUAUUGUUAUUAGUUCAAAGUGAAUAAUUGUCUAGAUUUAAGGUCAUCACUACUUGUAUUGAUUUAUGUUCAUGUGACACAAUACAAAGCCAGUGCGACAAUAUGCAGUCCUUUCGCACAACGAACAGGGUGAAACUCCACUUCUAGUGGCCAUCCGCGGCAUGUGUGGGGCGAGGAACAGGAAGAUUCAGAAAUGAGUAACAUUUUCAGCGGUAGCUACACUUACUAAUUUACUAUGUUAUCCGACAGUUUCUCGAUGCUGAAACGAGAGAUAACACGGAGAAGAAUUUUCGUAUGCUAACGUGAUGGUGGCAGCUAAACUUGUCUUUUCACGGCCGAAAAUUUUCCUUUGGAAAAACCAUUGGAAAAUAUCAACACGGAUGCUGCGCGGAUUGUGCUGGAUUUAGGAGAACAUAUUGAUCCCGCUAACAGAUUCGUUUUACCACCAUAGUGCCCGGAUCCUACGUCAGAAUCAGACAUCUGAGCGCUUUCAUCUGCAGAGUGUCGUUCGCAAACGUUGAAUUUUGUUUAGGCAUUGCUGAAUAAAUUUUGAGAAAAUUGGGCGCAUAGAAAACAAAACUGAAAUUAAAGUUGCUUCAACGAUUUCGGCUAAUUAUUGUAUUGAACAAAAAUGAAAAUACAAAAGUUAAGAUUUCCCAUUGAA